This 468-nucleotide ribosomal RNA is filed under the name uncultured bacterium. RNAcentral's name for it is "partial 16S ribosomal RNA". It matches the Rfam family "Bacterial small subunit ribosomal RNA", at positions 28 to 507 of the family's 1533-position model. The record is from RNAcentral.
GACGAACGCUGGCGGCGUGCUUAACACAUGCAAGUCGAACGGAAAGGCCCUGCUUUUGUGGGGUGCUCGAGUGGCGAACGGGUGAGUAACACGUGAGUAACCUGCCCUUGACUUUGGGAUAACUUCAGGAAACUGGGGCUAAUACCGGAUAUGAGCUCCUGCUGCAUGGUGGGGGUUGGAAAGUUUCGGCGGUUGGGGAUGGACUCGCGGCUUAUCAGCUUGUUGGUGGGGUAGUGGCUUACCAAGGCUUUGACGGGUAGCCGGCCUGAGAGGGUGACCGGCCACAUUGGGACUGAGAUACGGACCAGACUCCUACGGGAGGCAGCAGUGGGGAAUAUUGCACAAUGGGCGGAAGCCUGAUGCAGCAACGCCGCGUGCGGGAUGACGGCCUUCGGGUUGUAAACAGCUUUCGCCUGUGACGAAGCGUGAGUGACGGUAAUGGGUAAAGAAGCACCGGCUAACUACGUG